GGGCGUAUAGCUCAGUCGGUUAGAGCGCGUCACUGAUAAUGACGAGGUCCAUGGUUCGAAUCCAUGUACGCCCA
This 74-nucleotide transfer RNA is filed under the name Patescibacteria group bacterium. RNAcentral describes it as "tRNA-Ile". It matches the Rfam family "tRNA". From Rfam's summary of the family: Transfer RNA (tRNA) molecules are approximately 80 nucleotides in length. The record is from RNAcentral.